UUGGUCCUUUUGGCAGUAGGGGGUGAAGAUUGGGUAUCCACGAGGAAGCAUUGUUUACCCCACUUUUUGUGGCACGGGUGGGUUCUGUCACUUGUAUUUUCAAUCUGUUAACGCAUUGCACGUGAUGAUCAAUAUUGUAUUGAAACAGCAGGGAGCAGGUCUCGAACCCUCGACCUUCUAGCCCGAGGUCCGGCGCGCUAUCGACUGUGCCACAAAAGCAUGCUCGUGCGGCAGAGUUGAUUUCCGCGCUUAUAAACCCAGGGUCGAUAAAAUAUGUAAACAAUAGCCGAGCAUGACCGAAGCACAUUUCCUCGCAAUCAGCUGGAAGUGUUUGCGUUCUGUUAAGCUCGGCCAUAUUGUGUAAGUGUUUGUCACAUGCGAAUUGCAUCAGUAUUGAAAAUAAAAACCAGAAAUACAAACGAUAAACAGAUCAACAUCGGCCUACUUAAGCUUGGGUUGAUAACACUCCUCGGUGGAUAUUUUGUCUCACAUUCCUAUCUGCAAAAGAACCAACCGAUACAACAAAUUCAGCUGUUGGAGGGAAAAGUGUGAUGGUGUGAGCACUUUUGCAAGCAGAGCAGAGCCACAAUGGUAAACGUAUCAUGAGAAUGAGGUAAGGACGUGUUUGCAAAAUAAAAUCAAUAUGCUUACCACUUAUUUAUGUGUUCAUGAACCUGCCAAGUGUGCUAUGUGCCAUCCAACAUUGAAUCUGACUAGUCAUGGCUUUUUUUUCUACGGCAGAUGAACCCAAAGCCACCAUGGGUCAGACGAAUGGCAACGGUUGGCCACAGAAUGGUGCCAUCUCCACCAAUGGCCACAUGCCAACACACCUCAAGGGGGCCAACGCUGCCGUGCUGUCGACCAGCUUCUCCUCGCCAUGGGGACUGCUGGCCUUGGCUACCUCCACUGAAAACGGGCUGUCAUCAUGGCCAGCUUUUCAGGAGGCGGAGGAGACCCGGCGGCGUUCAGCCCAUUAGAUGUGCGGUUCACUACACCUGAUGGGAAGCCCCAGCAGCUGCGUGUCCCACCGGCCCUCCUGGGAGGCCAUGGCCAGCGACCUGAGGGACACCCUGCACUACGGACACUACCAUGGCUUCGGGGACACGGCAGAGGACCUGGCUGAGGAGCACAGCAGCUUGGUGCACGUCGAGCAGCUUUACAACCAGGCCGUGCUCAGUACCUUGCACCUCUACCACGGAUCCUAAAUAGGGGGAGGCUGGCCCUUCCCAAGUAAGUAGUCUGUCUAUCUACCUGCCCUGGCGGUGGCACAACUUUGCCUACAGCAGCUAGCCUGCCUUAAAACUCAAUGGUUACCAUAACAUCGUUGUUGCACUGGGGAUGGAGAGAAGAGUCACUUUGGCCCAUCUACCAAAAGGAACAAAUAGCAUUGUUGUUUUUGUAUUUGAUAUUUGAAAUCCUUAGUCUAUUAUUGUCUGUGUUGUAGCACAACAGAUGUGAUUGUGGUAAGCUGAUCAUAGUUUGUCUGGUGAUGGUAUUGCAUACAAUGCAUUAGUUUGUUUCUCAAAGGUGCGGGUUAUUAGAAUUAUGAGUUAUGAUAAGACGGCGAUGCCAGAUUUUUGUGUUAGACAGAAAGCGUAAAUGACUUGUGUUUGGUAUGUAGGUUCUGUGCCAACAAUUAUGUUAAAUCUAUUAAGUUUUAAAUCUAUGUUUUAUUGAGUUUGUUUUUACCUUGUUGUUCCUUGUCUAUACUUGGAGCACUACAAACAGUAUUUCUCAUGAAGACAAUCUAUAAACUGACUUAUCGCAGUCCUUUUUACCUUCAUUUUUUGGGGUCUUCUGAAAUAAAAAUUUGAUCAAAUUGCAUGCCUGACAAAGUCUUCCCUUUUGCUUCUAUGGCAUUGCUAAAAUGUAUGACUAUUUUGAAUGAUCUUUUCUUCUUAUCUUGCUUGUGCAGUUAGCAUUUAUUUGAAAUGGGGAUUAUAGGGCUGUGUUGGACUUAAUAAUACAUAUGUACAAUCAUGUGCUUUCAUGAAAUACUACUGUAAUCGAAUCAAAUUUUAUCACAAGCGUUGAAUACAACUGGUGUACACUUUACAGUGAAGUGAAAUGCUUGCUUACCCCAAUGAUCCAGAGUUUUAAAAAGAAAAUGGUAACUAACACAUGAAAAAUAAAAUAACAUACACAAGAAUGGA
Salvelinus fontinalis (brook trout) is the source of this 2153-nucleotide long non-coding RNA. RefSeq lists it as uncharacterized. The record is from RefSeq and is a predicted model, not a curated record. NCBI's taxonomy places the organism in Eukaryota, Metazoa, Chordata, Actinopteri, Salmoniformes, Salmonidae. The transcript has 2 exons.